GUUUGCUGCAUAAAAGCAAGUAUCAACAGACUUGAAAGAAAAUUUAAUUUACAAACUGACUUCCGAACAGCCAUAAAUGAGAUAGGGUUACCGAUAUCGAGCAGGCAGACUUACAUGGCGAUAAAUGCGGACGAAGAAAAAAUAACUGCACUACAGGGGUAUAUGCAAUGUUUGGGAGGAAUUAAUUUACGCGACACCCUCAAUAAAUUUAUGAAAGCAACGUUCACUGAUGAUUUCGUUGCGAAAAACAUUACAUGAAAGCGAGGAAAAGGAGAAAAAUUGCAUUUCAGGGAGUCUGCGAUAUAUAAGUGUAGCCUUUUAUGGAGCUACCAGAAAUAUAGCGAGUCUCGUCGAUAUUAAUUUCAAAAAAUAUUCAGAAGAAAUAAAAAUAGCGAUAAAAAACGCCUCCCAACGACAUUACAUGAUGACAAUCGGACGUCUAUCGAGAGUUCAGGACCAUAGACUUAUAUGAAUAGACGGAGCAUUGCCUAUCCCCUCCUAAGAAAAACGUGUCCCUGAGCGAGUAAUCGGACUGCGAUAGAAAUAGGGAGUGUAC
Long non-coding RNA from Linepithema humile (Argentine ant), 556 nucleotides. RefSeq lists it as uncharacterized. Lineage: Eukaryota; Metazoa; Arthropoda; Insecta; Hymenoptera; Formicidae. The record is from RefSeq and is a predicted model, not a curated record.